Molecule: ribosomal RNA, 1040 nt
Filed under: uncultured bacterium
Lineage: Bacteria
Description: bacterial SSU rRNA
Rfam family: Bacterial small subunit ribosomal RNA
Source: RNAcentral
AGAGUUUGAUCCUGGCUCAGGACGAACGCUGGCGGUGCGCUUAAUGCAUGCAAGUCGAACGGGCAAAGGGGCUUCGGCCUCGGCGCUAGUGGCAGACGGCUGAGUAACACGUAAGUGAUCUGCCCCGGAGAGGGGGAUAACCCGGAGAAAUCCGGCCUAAUACCCCAUACGUUCAGGUGGCUACGGCCAUGUGAAGAAAGGUUUACGUCGCUCUGGGAGGAGCUUGCGGCCUAUCAGGUAGUUGGUGGGGUAAAUGCCUACCAAGCCGAAGACGGGUAACCGAUGUGAGAGCAUGAUCGGUCAGAGGGGGACUGAGACACGGCCCCCACUCCUACGGGAGGCAGCAGCAGGGAAUCUUGCGCAAUGGGCGAAAGCCUGACGCAGCGACACCGCGUGGGGGAAGAAGGCCUCAGGGUUGUAAACCCCUUUUCUGUGGGAAGAGAUAGGACGGUACCACAGGAAUAAGCAUCGGCUAACUACGUGCCAGCAGCCGCGGUAAUACGUAGGAUGCAAGCGUUGUCCGGAUUUACUGGGCGUAAAGGGUGUGUAGGCGGCAUGGUAAGUCUCAUGUGAAAUCUCCCGGCUCAACUGGGAGGGGUCAUGGGAAACUGCCAAGCUUGAGGGCAGCAGAGGAAAGCGGAAUUCCGGGAGUAGUGGUGGAAUGCGUAGAUACCCGGAGGAACACCAGAGGCGAAGGCGGCUUUCUGGGCUGUGCCUGACGCUGAUACACGAAAGCGUGGGGAGCAAACCGGAUUAGAUACCCGGGUAGUCCACGCCCUAAACGAUGGAUACUAGAUAUAGGGGGUAUCGACCCCUCCUGUGUCGGAGUUAACGCGAUAAGUAUCCCGCCUGGGGAGUACGGCCGCAAGGCUAAAACUCAAAGGAAUUGACGGGUCCCCGCACAAGCGGCGGAGCGUGUGGUUUAAUUCGAUGAUAAGCGAAGAACCUUACCUGGGCUUGACAUGCAUUUGACAACCCAUGAAAAUGGGCUUUCCUUCGGGACAGAUGCACAGAUGUUGCAUGGCUGUCGUCAGCUCGUG